Long non-coding RNA from Thunnus maccoyii (southern bluefin tuna), 334 nucleotides. RefSeq lists it as uncharacterized. Lineage: Eukaryota; Metazoa; Chordata; Actinopteri; Scombriformes; Scombridae. The record is from RefSeq and is a predicted model, not a curated record. The transcript is spliced from 2 exons.
UCCAUACUGCCAGAUUAUCGGCUCUGUCCAGUCAUUUGACGUUUCAAGCCGUUUCUCCUGCAUUUAUCUUGCUGUUGCCUGUUUUCCUGGUCUAACCCUGUCUCCUAUUCCUCACAGUCCCAUCUGAUCUGGCUCCUGUCCCUGUCUCCUGUUCCCCGCAGUUCCGUCUGGGAUUCCGCUCCAGACCUGGUCCCCUUGCCCCAGCUUGCCUCAGCCCCAGGUUCCCAGCUACCAUCCUCAGCCCCAGCUCCAGGUUCCCUGCUACCAGUCCAGACUUCCUCAGGCCAACAUUCCCUUUUCCUCAUCUUAAAAUAAAUGCCUUGUUCCUACCAUA